UGAGUACGAGAUGCUACGGCAUCGAAGCAGUCUAUGUCAUACUUCCAAGAAAAGCUUGCACUGUCAGAAACAGAUAAUGCCUGUACCAUAACCGACACAGGUGGGUAGGUAGAGUAUACUAAGGGGCGCGAGAUAACUCUCUCUAAGGAACUCGGCAAAAUGACUCCGUAACUUCGGGAGAAGGAGUGCCUUAUUUUUAAGGUUGCAAUAACAAGAUCCAAGCAACUGUUUACCAAAAACACAGGUCUCCGCUAAGUCGUAAGACGAUGUAUGGGGGCUGACGCCUGCCCAGUGCCAGAAGGUUAAAGAAGUCGGUUAGCAUUCGCGAAGCUGGUAACUGAAGCCCUGGUGAACGGCGGCCGUAACUAUAACGGUCCUAAGGUAGCGAAAUUCCUUGUCGGGUAAGUUCCGACCCGCACGAAAGGCGUAAUGAUUUGGAUACUGUCUCGGAGAGGGGCUCGGUGAAAUAGACUUGUCUGUGAAGAUGCGGACUACCUGCACCUGGACAGAAAGACCCUAUGAAGCUUACUGUAACUUGAAAUUGAAAUUGGACUUUAUUUGCGCAGUAUAGGUGGGAGGCGUUGAAAAUAUUCUUGCGGGAAUAUUGGAGCCAUCAGUGAGAUACCACUCUUGUAAUGUUAGAUUUCUAACUUUAUAUCAUUAUCUGGUUAAAGAACAGUUUCAGGCGGGCAGUUUGACUGGGGCGGUCGCCUCCCAAAUGGUAACGGAGGCGCACAAAGGUUUCCUCUGAACGGGUAGAAAUCGUAUCUAGAGUGUAAAGGCAUAAGGAAGCUUGACUGUGAGACCUACAAGUCGAGCAGGGACGAAAGUCGGUCUUAGUGAUCUGACGGUGCUGAGUGGAAAGGCCGUCACUCAACGGAUAAAAGUUACUCUAAGGAUAACAGGCUGAUCUCCCCCAAGAGUUCACAUCGACGGGGAGGUUUGGCACCUCGAUGUCGGCUCAUCGCAUCCUGGGGCGGUAGUACGUCCCAAGGGUUGGGCUGUUCGCCCAUGAAAGCGGUACGCGAGCUGGGUUCAGAACGUCGUGAGACAGUUCGGUCCAUAUCCGGUGUAGGCGUUAGAAUAUUGAGAGGAGCCUUCUUUAGUACGAGAGGACCGAGAAGGACAUACCUCUGGUGUACCAGUUAUCGUGCCAACGGUAAACGCUGGGUAGCUAUGUAUGGAGUGGAUAACCGCUGAAAGCAUCUAAGUGGGAAGCCCACCUCAAGAUAAGUAUUCUC
Molecule: ribosomal RNA, 1241 nt
Filed under: metagenome
Description: bacterial LSU rRNA
Rfam family: Bacterial large subunit ribosomal RNA
Source: RNAcentral